AGUGAACGCUGGCGGUAGGCCUAACACAUGCAAGUCGAACGGCAGCACAGUAAGAGCUUGCUCUUACGGGUGGCGAGUGGCGGACGGGUGAGGAAUACAUCGGAAUCUACUUUUUCGUGGGGGAUAACGUAGGGAAACUUACGCUAAUACCGCAUACGACCUACGGGUGAAAGCAGUGGAUCUUCGGACCUUGCGCGAUUGAAUGAGCCGAUGUCGGAUUAGCUAGUUGGCGGGGUAAAGGCCCACCAAGGCGACGAUCCGUAGCUGGUGUGAGAGGAUGAUCAGCGACACGGGAACUGAGACACGGUCCAGGGUACUACGGGAGGCAGCAGUGGGGAAUAUUGGACAAUGGGCGCAAGCCUGAUCCAGCCAUACCGCGUGGGUGAAGAAGGCCUUCGGGUUGUAAAGCCCUUUUGUUGGGAAAGAAAAGCAGCAGGUUAAUACCCCGCUGUUCUGACGGUACCCAAAGAAUAAGCACCGGCUAACUUCGUG
RNAcentral lists this ribosomal RNA (492 nucleotides) under uncultured bacterium. RNAcentral describes it as "partial 16S ribosomal RNA". It matches the Rfam family "Bacterial small subunit ribosomal RNA", at positions 29 to 507 of the family's 1533-position model. The record is from RNAcentral.